Molecule: long non-coding RNA, 953 nt
Filed under: Sorghum bicolor (sorghum)
Lineage: Eukaryota; Viridiplantae; Streptophyta; Magnoliopsida; Poales; Poaceae
Description: long non-coding RNA (SBIC_LNC010971)
Source: RNAcentral
UUAAGCGGCGCUUUACAUCCACUGAGAUGUUCACGGUCAAUAAAUAUUUCCCAAACCCUACACACAGCCAUUGUGGAUCGUGAACUAAUAAUUACAGAGUCAUAUAAUGAUAUUCUUCUAGCUGAGAUCGACAUUACGUACCUUUGAAUAAUGUUUACCAUUUGUUGAUAAUUUUCUUGUGGUUUUCUCAUUGAGUCAAAGAUUAUCAACCGGUUCUUGGGAAUUUCAAUGACCAUGAGUAUCCAGUGAAAGCUCUUUACACACAUAUAUAUAGUCAGGCCUAUAUAUAACUAUAUAAAACUUGUCUCGAGUAAUAAUAAGUAAACACUUAAUAACUAUAUAACUCACUCGAAGUUGAAGGAGAAGAGUAUUUUUUUGUUUUUCUUUUUGGUUCACAAAGAACCUCAUAAGAUUGGUGCAGACUUCUGUCUCAUGAGAUGCUGUCCACACUGCCUGCGGAGCCUUGAAAACAAUAUAAGGGUCAACGAAUCCAAUACUAUUGUCAUUUCUGAUUCUGAGCUCUCUCAUUUGGUGCCUGCAUAUAUACAUACAAAUCCUAAGUGUGUAAGGAUUAUAUACAUGUAAUUAAAGAAGUUAGAAGUUUAAUAAAAAGAAAGAAAUAACAAAAGCAGCUGACAAGAGAUUUGUCAAGAGCGUAGAGGUGACAUAAUUGGUGCAAUUCUUCGAACUGCACGUAUAUGAGGUCAUCUCCACGGAAGUAGUGAUGUUGUCUAAUAUGAACAAAAAUCCAAUUAUCUCCCCUUUUAGACGCCUCAAUGCACCACUUGUUUAUUGCAAAUAUUUGUGUGCCGAGCUCAUGUAAACGCUGAGGGUUGAAUAGACUCCUGCUCGGUUCAUAUCUUGCCCUCCAUUGAUCAACUACCUUAGCUUUUUCAAAUAUUUGACAUCCAAUAAUGGCGGCAAUGUCUUCAAUAUUUAAACCGCUCUGUCCA